AGAAGGUAGUAUUAGUUGUACGGAAUGGUGUUCCUGAAAUCACGCUUUCCAGCCACGUGUAUAGUAUUAUGAAAAUUUUCAAACAUUUCUCCUCUCUCACUGAAUUUCCUUUACCAAUUUAUCUAAUUUCCUUUGCCGCCUUCUUCCUCGCUUCUCCUCCUCCUCCUCUCUCAAUUACGUGUGUUUCAUUGAAAUAUCUUUUGACCGGAAACAAUAUCAAAAUGAAGAUGUGAGACUGAAAAUUUGCAAUUGGUAUUUUCAGUUUCUUCCCAAUUCUCUUCACAGGUGUUACAAUCUAUACAAUUUUCAGGUUUGUUCUACUAUCAAUUUUGCCCUUCUGAAUCUUGUAGCUUGACGACUUCGUUGUUUUGCUUGAUUUUUCCCUCUGUUUGAUCUCCAUUUCUUAACCUUUGCCUCUGAUUUUUUGUGGUGGUCGUUUUUCCAAAAUAAAGAAUUACCAAGUUGGAUUUGGAACUCAGAAAUCUUUGAAACAAGAAAUUGGAUUUUGGCCGACCCGCAUAGAGUUCCUUCAUUUACUUCCACUCUGUUUAACCGGGACUAUCCGUCAGGCUUCUUUGGGUUUCUGAUUGUGGAAUGCGGUGCAGUUACUGACGACAUCUUACUUAUUUUUAUUUUUAUUUUCAUUCUCUACUUUACUUGAUUAAUUAUUUCAUGCAAAGUGAAGUUGUGACAAACUAAUCGCUUAGCAACUUCAAAUUAACACAAGAAAUAAAUAAUUUUCUUAUGGUUUACUUUAGAAUUGAAGCUGCAAGAAACUUCAUUCCCCUGCUCUCGAGCUUGUGAGAUUAUAUGCAGUUCUUUAAAAUGAUGUUAAUCCGUAAUCCUUAAAUAAAAUUGCAUAUAGAUAAAAUUUUAAUUUUGACUAUGCUACUUCAAGAAGGUUUUCUUUUACGGCUUAUAAUGUCACAUGUGAGAUUCCAAAAGCUGAAUGCAUCUCUAAGAAUUCAUAGUAUAUGUGCCAAAACCAAAAAAGAAAUCUAAGAAUCUGCAAUAUAGGUUCUCAACAGCCAAAACAAUAAACUGUCAAUCAUGUCGUUUUUUAGAUGUCAUUAUGUUGUAUAUGUUUGGAAACUUGGUAUUGGAGACUAGCCUUUCGUCCAUCUUAAAUACUUAUUUUGGUGAAUGAUGGAUAAAUACAAUUCCUUCCCCGUACCGCCAAUGAAUAAAGUCAAUAGAUCUUAAAUUGGUAUAUGCACUUGCUCUUGCUCAUGCCACUUCUAAUUAGAACUUUUAGAAAUAUUACUCUUCUGGUAACUUUUUAAUUCCUUCUUGUAACUUCUGCCUUAUUAACUACCUGCAGUGUACUACUAGAAAGAGGUAGUGUAGCUGCUGAUUUGUUACGUGACUUUAAUAUUAAGUGAACUUCAAUUCAAUUUUCUUACUAUUGUCUCCUAAAUAGUAAUCCAUAGAAUUAGCUAAGUGAAACUACAUAGCUACAAUGUGUCAUCAUAAGGACCUGUAUACAAUAUUUGUUGUGCUUUAGGAAAUAUGCUAAACUAAUAGAGGAUCAAGUUUUACCGAAAUAAUAAUUAAUGAAAGUAGUACAUUGUUAAGCAUGGUUACAGAAGGAGAGGACAAAAGGAGGAUGAGCAACAUAGACAUCAACACUGAUGCAUAAUUACUGUGACAAAGUGUACAAUAAGAGCUUGAUGUUUACUUAAAAUGUGUUGAUGUUUCUUUCAUGCUCUUUACGGUUGAAAAUCAGCAAUUGAAAUUGGUUUACCUGAACUGCACGAGUAAAGAGAUUUCCGGCAUUUACAGUGAAAGUGAAACAACUUGGAUGAGACAAGCGUAGCUAUUGUUUGAACUGAUUUCGGCCAUUUUAUGAGGAUGAGGAUGAUUGUCAAACAAUGGAACAUAGAGCAUGGAUAACAGUCUUUAAUAAAUGUUUGUAACUUACUUUUUCACUUAUUCUGCAUGUUUUCCCCUUAAAGUAUAAACAUGAAACAAACAGAUUGUGACCUUAUCAGUUUUUCUAUAGGUGGCUGGAAACUUAAUAUCUGCAGGGCAUCUGCUUACAGAUUUCAUAUGUGCAUGUUAAGCUAACAUAUAAAUAUUGCAUUAGCUGAAUUCUUACAUGCACAUGUGCUAUUACUUUGCAUAUAUUUUUUGUGAUUUGUAAUAAUUUUUUUCAUUGUUUGGUUCAGGCUUGAGAAGGAAAAGAGAAGGUUUAAAGUCUUUCAGUUGAAUGAUUUGUGUGAUGAGACCAGAGAAUCCUAGAGCACUCCAUCGCUUGGGGUUCAUGGUCAUUAUGUUCGUUAACUUAUAGUUACUUUCAGCAACUUAGUAUUGCUAUUUUGAUCAUAAGAAUUUUUACGUGCAUUUUUUCUCUCCAUCAUGUUUAUGAAUUAAUUUACAAGCAUCUUAAAUAAAAGUUGAAAUAUAUUAUUAUUCAAGAUGUAAUCUUUGAUAGCAAUAUGUGUAGAUUUAGCAGAACUUUUAGCAAUUAGACACCAAGUAGUUGAAAAAAUGAAGAAAUAAUUUAAGACUACUUAACCUAAUGUGUUGAUACAUUGUGAUAGAAAAAUAAAACAUCAGGUGAUAAUAGUUAAAACUCUGUAAUGAAUUUACGUUGUAUCAAGGCUUGCAAAAUUAGUAUCAGGAAAUUCUCUAGAUUGAUAUCCUAAGCCACAAUUGGUGUCACAAAAUUAGAUUAUUUUAUUAUGGUUCAAAAUCUUCCAAACUUCCAUAAAUUUUUUCAGGACCACUGAUAUAUUGUUAUCAUGCCUAUCGCAAAAGCGCAGGUUGAUAUUACUUUGUUGUAUUCAUCAGCUUGUUGCAUUAACCUAUUGCUAGCGUGAAAGCUGUUUGAUGAUUGUGAUAAAUACUACUAUGGAGAUCAUGGUUCUUUAGAAUGUUAUGACUCUUGAGUAUGGGGUAUGACAACAGCUUGGAUUGUAUAAAACAGGUAUGUUACCUUUCCUUUUAUUAAUUGGUGUAUUGGAGAUGCAUAGGAUAGUUUUAAUUGUACCUUGACUCUUAGUUUAAGAACUCAAGAUGGCAAUAACAAGAUGGAUUAUACUUCAGCUGCUUUACACUGUGGUGCUGGACAAGCACAUGAUUAAGAACUUGAAGUAUUUUCUAAUAGUUUCAACUUAGUUUCCACUUGCUGCAUUGAUGUGUGAUUUUUUUUUUUAAAAAAUUGAUUAUCAAGGCAGAAUUCAUCGAGGGGUAUAGUUAUAUUCAAAGAUGGUUACAAGAUAAGUUACUUUCCAGGAAAUAAUUCUUUGCUCGGCUAAUCCAAAGUCAUGGAAAGGCCUCUCAAGCAUGAACGUAGUUUAAACUAUAUAUUUACAAUCCUUUGGCAUCUUCAGUUCAUCAGUUCUCAUUGCUUCCUUGCCUACAAAAUAAAAACUGUUUAUUUACUUUUUGCAAAAAAUUUCCAUACGACCUUAAUUAACACAAGCAGAAAAGGAGAGAGCUGAGGGAGAUGUGAAAUAAAGACAACAAAAGGAAAAGGGCCAUGAAUGCUAACCUUAAACAAUCACAUUGGAAUACAAAAACAGGAGUUUGAUGCAGAGGCUGAUACUCCUGAAAUGGAAGUUGAUAAGAUGCGUCAACACAUCAAGAACAAUAGGUUCUUUCACGUGGUGCCAACUUACUCAUGCAUAUGCAGGUAGUUAACUAAUCAUCUAAAUAACACUUUGUUUUUACAUGGUAUAUAUAACAUCCAUUUUUUUUCAUAGUUAAUUAGUUGGAUGUCAUUUUGCCAAUGCGUACGCCUGAUUUAUUUGUCUCUGAAACUUAAAAACUAUGUGUUGUAUAACUUCAUUUUUACAAGGUACAUAUAUAAUUCAUUUUGCUUCAUAGUUUAGUUGGAUGUCAUUGACCAAUGUUGUCCAGUUUAUUUGACACUGAAACAAUGGGAAGAAGUGUGGGAAUGGAGGGAAAUGACCAUUUGGUGCACGAACUUGUAGAUGUUGAAAGAUUUUCAGAAUUUAUCAAAAACAUUGUCCAAACCAUGGGAAUGAUUUUCAAAUUCCAAGGAAGACUAAACAGUACCUUAUCUGGGAGCAUCUUAUGAAGCCAUUCAAGGAAAACUAAAUAGAACCUUAUCUGGGAUCAUUUUUUUUUUUUUCCUCAAGUUCAUGUGUAUUUGUGGUUGUGGAUAUGUCAGUUUGUUGUUUGAAGACUUCCACCACGUGUAUUUGAGAUUUCAAAUGGAAUAUGGUUUGAAAUGACUGGGACUUGCUUGCAUUAACGUUAGAAGAUAUAUAUUUUUUCUUUGAUAAGGAACGUUAGAAGAUAUAUUUAGUCUUUGAAUUCCUCUUUGUUUUAUACCUUAUGUACAUGUUAUGUACAAUACAAUGACAAUCAGAAUUUUUCGAAAGACUUUAACUAAACUGGAAAUCAAAUUAACCAUGUUGGGCCAGUGCUAGACUUGCUAGUAUAUAUUAGAAACGACAGUUGGGGUACGAACAUGGACGAACAAGGGGCAGUUUUGUAAUUUUCGUGUUUCAUUUGUUUGGGGCAAAUUUGGGACUGAAGACCUUCUGUAUAUCAUACCCCAUAAAAUACGGUUCUUCUUCUUCUUCAGAUCUAGAAUCUGCCCCAUACGGUUCUUCUUCCUUCAGAUUCUGGAAUCUACCCGGUCAAGAGAUCUAUUCUCCCUCGCUUCUCUUUCUCUGCUUCUAGCCCGGAUCUGCUCCUCAAUUCAGAUUAUUUAAGUUGUUUUUCUUCUUUUUUCUGACUUCUCUUCACCCUCUCUUCUUCAGUGUGUCCAAUUCAAUGGUGGCUAUUUUCAUUCUUUUUUUUAAUUUUUAGGAGUGCUCUUUUAUUUUUUCCCUUUAUGAUCAAUGCAUAAGAAAAAAAAAAUUAGUUCAAGCACUAUUCAUCACGGUAUGAUUCUUUUACCGGGAGCUAUAGUCAUCAGCUGAGUAGUCAACUUUUUCCAUUCUAAAAAUCACAACAUAGGAAGAAGUUUUGGAGCACCUUAAUAGAGCAAGUAAACACCAAUCGCUAAAAGAAGUUGGAAAUGAAAGGAUCUCGGAAAAGAGAUAUUAGUAAGUUAUAAAGUAGAAGGUACUAUAACAUCUCAAUUGGUUGUAUUGGCUGUGAUUCAGCUAAUGUAAAGUGCUGUUUUUUAAUAUGUUUAAUUAGAACAUUAUCCUCAUGGAAGUUAGAUCUUUCUAAGUAAACUUUUCCCAACCAACAUAUAUACUAAUAUUCUAAUUUAAUGCUAAAUUGUUCUUGUAGCAGUAUGUGUUGUAAUUGAUCUCCAAGUUUAGCAGAAUCAUGGUAUCUUCAAGUAUAAGACAUCAUAGUCCAUACACAACUUUUGCAUUUAAUGACAGCUUGCAGCAUGGAGACCAUAACUCUCGGGAUAAAAGGAUAGGCAUGAAAACAAAUGUCUUAGAGGAGAAGGAGACAACGACAUGGUUUAAUUUGCUGCUAUGCUGAAUUUUUAAUGACUUGAAGCAAGGUUUCUACUCAUGAAUCAACCAGGUUGCUCCGAAAUAAAUUCAACUGCUCAAAUUCUGUUUCCCUGAGGAAGUUAGAAAGCUAGAGUUUCAGUUAUAUAGGGAUGGAUGACGCAGAGAUAUAGUAUGUGACAAUAGAACUGGAAUGCUAAAGGGGGAGAUUUUUCAUCUAGCCAAUUGAUUACCUUCACUGAAGUCUGCAGGCUUCAACAAAUGCAGAGGACGAGAUUUUAUAGAUUAUGAUUAGAAAGCAGAGGCUGGAUCCGGAAUGAUAGAGCGUAGAAGUUCCAUCAUCAAAUCACAGACUCUAUUGUCCAGUGCCACAUAAACCGACCAUUUUAAUAUUCUGCAUAUGAAGAUGGGCCCAAGUCUCAUUCGCUUCCAUCCCAUUUUCUUUGAGUGAUUCAAAGUGUCCCUUCCUCUUCUGUUUAUUGUAGGAUUUUUCACUUGCAUGCACAUGGCACUUGACACACCUGAUUGAACUUGCAAAGUUCAAAUUGUGGACAUGAGUCGUGAGCGAGAAAGCCCUGAGAAUAGAAUCAGAUUCCAAAAUCUGAUUUUGGAAGAUGAAGAGGUAAUUUCAUCAAUAGUCUGAACAAUUUCGAUAACAAUCGAACAUUGUUUUCUUCAAUCCUUCUUAGGUGUUUUAGGUGUAUAUAAGAAGUGUUCCCUACUUUGGGAACUACAUGAAUGGAUGAGGAAACUAAAAAGGCAGCAUAUGAGGUGUAGUUCUGCCAAUCAAUUCCAAAAUUUUACUAUUGCCAAGUAAAUAAUGUUUACUGAGUUGUACUCGGCAUUCAGCACAUAGACAUAGUGUUUACUUUGUUCCACUAGCAGAGGAGAAGUACCAAGGUUGCAGGAAGUGAUUCUGGAGCUAAUUUGCAGGAAGAGACAUUUGGUUAUUGAGAUUUGAGACACAAAGUUGAUCUAUUUUCCUGUGGAAACUAUAGAAACUGGUACUUCUGCAGAAAUUGAAGAUGAUAUGGCUUUAGCUCUUAUAGGUAUUUGGCAAUUUCUGAUGUUAAAAAGGUUGAAUGCAAUGUGUUGUGAUAUAUAGGGAGCUUGUAAUUAUACUGUCUAUAUAUAUUCUUGCACGAAGUGUUGAAGAUGUCUUAACUUUUGAAAGAGGGAAAUGCCGGUAAAUGCAUUUGACUGGUUUCUUCUCCAUUGAUAUUCGGCCUGGUGACCUUAGGUUUGCCACUGGUGGUGGUGAUCACAAGUUUUAUAAUUUACCCAUCGGGCACACGCAAUCGAAGUGAUCUGCCUCGAUUGGAGGGACUAACAUACAUCUCCAAGUUUAGCAGGUUUGCCACUGGUGGUGGUGAUCACAAGUUUUAUAAUUUACCCAUCGGGCACACGCAAUCGAAGUGAUCUGCCUCGAUUGGAGGGACUAACAUACAUCUCCAAGUUUAGCAGAAUCAUGGUAUCUUCAAGUAUAAGACAUCAUAGUCCAUAUUUACUGCAGGUUUCCGGCUCAGCCUUUCAGAAAGAUGGGCAAGGGUUCGGCUUGCUUUCUUAACGAGAUAGAAAUAAUUAAUUUAGGAUCCCUGAAAGAUGUUUUGAUGUUUUUGGUUGAAAACACUUUAUGUUCACCUCAUUCUAUUCAAUUUAUGAAGUUAUAUGUACUCUUACAUUGCGUUUGUUUCAACAGAUCCAAGACACUUCAACUUCUUCGCAUUUGCUGAUAGACUCCCUGUAGUAGCAUUGUGCCAUACUACCAUUGAACAUUGAGUUUAUCAUUCGACUUAUGGAUUCGUAGGAAGAUGGCUCAGUUGCAUGUACCCUAUGGAGAUGGCUGCACUACUUUUAACUUCGUAGUUUUUCCUUCUAAAGUUGGAGACUGAUGCUAUACUUCUAACUCACUGUAAUAUUUUUGCAUUCCGUACUAAACAUUUUUUAUGUCGUGCUUUGUUAGAAGAGGUUGUUGUAAGAAUGACUUCUCCAAACAAGAAUUUGGAAUUGUUGUGCUAUUGGUACUUCAA
Molecule: long non-coding RNA, 7423 nt
Organism: Lycium barbarum (goji berry)
Lineage: Eukaryota; Viridiplantae; Streptophyta; Magnoliopsida; Solanales; Solanaceae
Exons: 10
Source: RefSeq, a predicted model, not a curated record